Molecule: ribosomal RNA, 720 nt
Filed under: uncultured bacterium
Lineage: Bacteria
Description: partial 16S ribosomal RNA
Source: RNAcentral
GCCAUCGGUGUUCUUCCUGAUGUCUGCGCAUUUCACCGCUACACCAGGAAUUCCAUUCUCCUCUUCCGGACUCUAGCCAGAUGGUUUCGAUCGACGUCUGGAGGUUGAGCCUCCAAUUUUCACAACCGACCUACCUGGCCGCCUACACGCGCUUUACGCCCAAUAAAUCCGGACAACGCUUGCCCCCUACGUAUUACCGCGGCUGCUGGCACGUAGUUAGCCGGGGCUUCUUCUGGAGGUACCGUCACCCUCUGGGCUAUUCACCCGAGUGGCUUCGUCCCUCCUGAAAGCGGUUUACAACCCGAAGGCCGUCUUCCCGCACGCGGCGUCGCUGCGUCAGGCUUUCGCCCAUUGCGCAAGAUUCCCUACUGCUGCCUCCCGUAGGAGUCUGGGCCGUGUCUCAGUCCCAGUGUGGCUGAUCGUCCUCUCAGACCAGCUACGGAUCGGGGCCUUGGUGAGCCGUUACCUCACCAACAAGCUAAUCCGCCGCGGGCCCAUCCUCGGCCGGAGGCCGAAGCUACCUUUCCCGACCGGUCCGAAGACCGAAAGGGCCAUCCGGUAUUAAUCCGGGUUUCCCCGGGCUAUCCCGGUGCCGAGGGCAGGUUACCCACGUGUUACUCACCUGUUCGCCGCUGUCCCCGGAGCCGAAGCUCCGGUUCUCGCUCGACUUGCAUGUAUUAAGCGCGCCGCCAGCGUUCGUCCUGAGCCAGGAUCAAACUC